AGUUGGAAGUGGGGAUCUAGGCACAGAAUUGCGUAAUUUUAAAACUGCAACUUCCAGAUAGUGCCAGAUCUAACUCUUCCAGCUCA
This 86-nucleotide microRNA precursor is filed under the name Blattella germanica (German cockroach). RNAcentral describes it as "Bge-Mir-750_pre stem-loop". The record is from RNAcentral. Lineage: Eukaryota; Metazoa; Arthropoda; Insecta; Blattodea; Blattellidae.